Molecule: ribosomal RNA, 422 nt
Filed under: uncultured bacterium
Lineage: Bacteria
Description: partial 16S ribosomal RNA
Rfam family: Bacterial small subunit ribosomal RNA
Source: RNAcentral
UGGGGAAUUUUGGACAAUGGGCGAAAGCCUGAUCCAGCAAUGCCGUGUGUGUGAAGAAGGCCUUCGGGUUGUAAAGCACUUUUGUCCGGAAAGAAAUCCUUGGCUCUAAUACAGUCGGGGGAUGACGGUACCGGAAGAAUAAGCACCGGCUAACUACGUGCCAGCAGCCGCGGUAAUACGUAGGGUGCAAGCGUUAAUCGGAAUUACUGGGCGUAAAGCGUGCGCAGGCGGUUUGCUAAGACCGAUGUGAAAUCCCCGGGCUCAACCUGGGAACUGCAUUGGUGACUGGCAGGCUAGAGUAUGGCAGAGGGGGGUAGAAUUCCACGUGUAGCAGUGAAAUGCGUAGAGAUGUGAGGAAUACCGAUGGCGAAGGCAGCCCCCUGGGCCAAUACUGACGCUCAUGCACGGAAGCGUGGGGGAGC